RNAcentral lists this unclassified non-coding RNA (250 nucleotides) under plant metagenome. Its description in RNAcentral is "partial contains small subunit ribosomal RNA, internal transcribed spacer 1, and 5.8S ribosomal RNA". The record is from RNAcentral.
GUAGGUGAACCUGCGGAGGGAUCAUUAUAAGUUCACCCAGGCUUGUACAGCUGGGGACUGACAACCCUUUGAUUUCCGACUCUGUUGCCUCCGGGGCGACCCUGCCUUCGGGCGGGGGCUCCGGGUGGACACUUCAAACUCUUGCGUAACUUUGCAGUCUGAGUAAACUUAAUUAAUAAAUUAAAACUUUUAACAACGGAUCUCUUGGUUCUGGCAUCGAUGAAGAACGCAGCAUCUGACUGACUCAAUC